This 502-nucleotide small RNA is filed under the name uncultured Diversispora. Its description in RNAcentral is "SSU rRNA". It matches the Rfam family "Eukaryotic small subunit ribosomal RNA", at positions 591 to 1092 of the family's 1831-position model. The record is from RNAcentral. Lineage: Eukaryota; Fungi; Glomeromycota; Glomeromycetes; Diversisporales; Diversisporaceae.
CCAAUAGCGUAUAUUAAAGUUGUUGCAGUUAAAAAGCUCGUAGUUGAACUUCGGGGUCUACCCAUUGGUCAGGCUUAAUUGUCUGCACUGGUGAGAUGGAUCUCUACCUUCUGAGGAACUUUCAUGCCAUUUAUUUAGUGUGAUGGGAAAUCAGGACUGUUACUUUGAAAAAAUUAGAGUGUUUAAAGCAGACUAUCGUCUGAAUACAUUAGCAUGGAAUAAUGAAAUAGGACGGACUGAUUCUAUUUCGUUGGUUUCUAGGAUCACCGUAAUGAUUAAUAGGGAUAGUUGGGGGCAUUAGUAUUCAAUUGUCAGAGGUGAAAUUCUUGGAUUUAUUGAAGACUAACUACUGCGAAAGCAUUUGCCAAGGAUGUUUUCAUUAAUCAAGAACGAAAGUUAGGGGAUCGAAGACGAUCAGAUACCGUCGUAGUCUUAACCAUAAACUAUGCCGACUAGGGAUCGGACGAAGUUAAUUUUAUAAUGACGCGUUCGGCACCUUACG